UGUGGGUGAACAGUGAUCGAGAAAUAAGAUUAGUAUCGGAUGAGAGCUGCUAGAAUCUAGAAUGUGGUGACUACUGAGAGCUGGUAGAAUUCGAAAUGGUAGGGUAAUGGGAUAUAAUAAUAAAUUAAUAAAUUAUAAUUAUUAUAAUUUUUAAUAAUAAAAUAAAAGCAAGGAAAGCCGCCUUUGUUAAGGGUUAGUCUCUUGGCGGUGAUAUUCUGGAUCUCUGUUGAGAGAAAGCUAGAAAGAAAAUAGAGAGAGAGCAGUAAUCUUUGUUGGCUGUGACUUUUUUGGUCUUGGUUGAGAGAAAAACUGGAGAGAUAGAAGAGAAAAAGAAGGAGAGUUGAGAGAGAUCAUCUGGAAGAACUUCUGGCAGGGAUCAGAGGGCAAUUAAAGCUUUUGAUUGUUUGAUUUGAUACACCUCGUCUUCAUUUCAGGUAAAACUCUUAUAAGGCGUGCGAAUCUAAGGUAUCUAUUCCUUCUUCUUAUUUUUUUUCUCUAUAAUUUUAUGGUGCUUUAAGCUUUUAUCCCAUAUUCCUCUCCUUAAACCUUGAAAAAAUUUAAACCUUAGCCCACCUAUUUGAUUAUAGGCAACCCUUUCCUUAAACCCUAAAAUAAAAAGGAAAUACCUUAUUCUUCUUCUUAAACCUCAAAACAAUAAAAACCCUAUCCCACCUAUUUGAUUAUGGACAACCAUCUCCUUAAACCCUAAAAUAAAAGGGAGAUACCUUAUUCCUCUUCUUAAACCUCAAAACAAUAAAAACCUUAUCCCACCUAUUUGAUUAUGGACAACCAUCUCCUUAAACACUAAAUUAAAAGGAGACCAUUCAGGGGGAUACAUGUAGUUAUCACCAUCGUAUGUUUCUCUAAUGAAUCUAUUAGGUGCACAAGUGGCAGCAUAUUAUUAGUCCACAAACACAUUGUAUCACCCUGUUAGUCCAUGUAUACACGGCACCAUUUCACAGGUCUGUGUUGUGUCAUCUAGUUGCAUCUUAUAAAAAGGAAUCCCCAUUAAUAGACCUCAAGGACCACCAUUUGAAAGGACUGAAAAAAUCUCUUUAAGGGAUUUGUUCUCUGAAAAUUACUGCUAGUUGCUCCAACUCAUGCUUCCUCUUAAUCCACUCUAUUCUUCCUUUGAAUUGGGACAACUCGCCAUCCACAUGGUCACCUCCUUCAACAAAAAUAGAUCACAAAAAUCCUAGUAUAGCCUUUACAAACUUAUCUCAAUCUUAAGACCUUUUCCUCAAAACCUAUAAUGUUUAACACCUUUCUUUAUUUUUAUGCAAUAAGGACAUCUAUUUCUAUAAGGAAAUAUCAACAAAACAAAUAUCUAAUAUAAUAUUCUCUACUAUUAUGAUCCAAAAUGAAAUUUGAGACACUUUGUAACAUAGCUCAAUGAAGCCAUAUCAUUGAUUCCUCCCCUCUUUUUUCCCUUUCUAUAAGAAGGCUGAUCAAUAUGAAAGAAGUAGAAAUUUCACAUGUACAACAAAAGGAAACAUAAAAAUGACCUCUUAAAGAGGUAAAAAAGAAGGAAAGAAAAAUCCAAAGUCAUAAUAAAAUACAUGAUUGUAGGGCAAUAAAAAUGCAAGAAUAUUAUACUAACCUGCAAGCUUCCCAUUAAUAAAAGCAUGAAGGGCAUGGCCUAGUGAUUCCACAUGAAGAACAGUUUGUGAUCCAUCUUCAAGGAAAGGCUCAUCACCUUGUAUUUCAGUGCUACAACAAACAACCAGGGAAAGUUUCUGAAAUAUUUAUAGCUUCAGAAGAAAAAAUGGUGGGAACAAGUGCAAACAAUAAACUUUUAUCCUAAGGAUCUAUUCCCCAAAAAUUUAUACCUUAGUGAAUACCACAGAUAGUCACUUUUAUCA
Molecule: long non-coding RNA, 1862 nt
Organism: Vitis vinifera (wine grape)
Lineage: Eukaryota; Viridiplantae; Streptophyta; Magnoliopsida; Vitales; Vitaceae
Exons: 2
Source: RefSeq, a predicted model, not a curated record